Molecule: ribosomal RNA, 119 nt
Filed under: Carassius auratus (goldfish)
Lineage: Eukaryota; Metazoa; Chordata; Actinopteri; Cypriniformes; Cyprinidae
Source: RNAcentral
GCUUACGGCCAUACCAACCUGGCUAUGCCCGAUCUCGUCUGAUCUCGGAAGCUAAGCAGGUUUGGGCCUGGUUAGUACUUGGAUGGAAGACCGCCUGGGAAUACCAGGUGCUGUAAGCU